Non-coding RNA from Pelobates cultripes (western spadefoot toad), 219 nucleotides. NCBI's taxonomy places the organism in Eukaryota, Metazoa, Chordata, Amphibia, Anura, Pelobatidae. The record is from the annotation of a GenBank genome assembly.
UUUAACUCCGCUGUCAGAUGAUCCACAUAUACGGUAUGUGUUAUUUGUUGUUUUUCUUCUGAUCUAUACGCAUACUCUUAUAAUAAACUCCCUAAUCAUCCUCUUGUUUAUCAUUGAUGCCCAGCUCCACACCCCCAUGUACUUCUUUCUUGGAAACCUGGCAUUUUUGGACAUGUCCUUAUCAUCAGUCACAGCACCAAGGAUGCUCUCUGACUUCAU